RNAcentral lists this ribosomal RNA (253 nucleotides) under uncultured bacterium. Its description in RNAcentral is "partial 16S ribosomal RNA". It matches the Rfam family "Bacterial small subunit ribosomal RNA", at positions 524 to 776 of the family's 1533-position model. The record is from RNAcentral.
UACGUAGGGUGCAAGCGUUGUCCGGAAUUAUUGGGCGUAAAGAGCUCGUAGGCGGUCUGUCACGUCGGCUGUGAAAUCCCGAGGCUCAACCUCGGGUCUGCAGUCGAUACGGGCAAACUAGAGUAUUGCAGGGGAGACUGGAAUUCCUGGUGUAGCGGUGAAAUGCGCAGAUAUCAGGAGGAACACCGGUGGCGAAGGCGGCUCUCUGGACCGAGACUGACGCUGAGGCGCGAAAGCGUGGGGAGCAAACAGG